RNAcentral lists this ribosomal RNA (467 nucleotides) under uncultured bacterium. Its description in RNAcentral is "partial 16S ribosomal RNA". It matches the Rfam family "Bacterial small subunit ribosomal RNA", at positions 28 to 506 of the family's 1533-position model. The record is from RNAcentral.
GACGAACGCUGGCGGCGUGCUUAACACAUGCAAGUCGAACGGAAAGGCCCUGCUUUUGUGGGGUGCUCGAGUGGCGAACGGGUGAGUAACACGUGAGUAACCUGCCCUUGACUUUGGGAUAACUUCAGGAAACUGGGGCUAAUACCGGAUAGGAGCUCCUGCUGCAUGGUGGGGGUUGGAAAGUUUCGACGGUUGGGGAUGGACUCGCGGCUUAUCAGCUUGUUGGUGGGGUAGUGGCUUACCAAGGCUUUGACGGGUAGCCGGCCUGAGAGGGUGACCGGCCACAUGGGGACUGAGAUACGGCCCAGACUCCUACGGGAGGCAGCAGUGGGGAAUAUUGCACAAUGGGCGGAAGCCUGAGGCAGCAACGCCGCGUGCGGGAGGACGGCCUUCGGGUUGGAAACCGCUUUCGCCUGUGACGAAGCGUGAGGGACGGGAAUGGGGAAAGAAGCACCGGCUAACUACGG